This 446-nucleotide ribosomal RNA is filed under the name uncultured bacterium. RNAcentral's name for it is "partial 16S ribosomal RNA". It matches the Rfam family "Bacterial small subunit ribosomal RNA", at positions 338 to 795 of the family's 1533-position model. The record is from RNAcentral.
CCUACGGUGGACAGCAGUCGAGAAUCAUUCACAAUGGGGGAAACCCUGAUGGUGCGACGCCGCGUGGGGGAAUGAAGGUCUUCGGAUUGUAAACCCCUGUCAUGUGUGAGCAAAUUAAAAAGAUAGUACCACAAGAGGAAGAGACGGCUAACUCUGUGCCAGCAGCCGCGGUAAUACAGAGGUCUCAAGCGUUGUUCGGAAUCACUGGGCGUAAAGCGUGCGUAGGCUGUUUCGUAAGUCGUGUGUGAAAGGCGCGGGCUCAACCCGCGGACGGCACAUGAUACUGCGAGACUAGAGUAAUGGAGGGGGAACCGGAAUUCUCGGUGUAGCAGUGAAAUGCGUAGAUAUCGAGAGGAACACUCGUGGCGAAGGCGGGUUCCUGGACAUUAACUGACGCUGAGGCACGAAGGCCAGGGGAGCGAAAGGGAUUAGAUACCCCUGUAGUC